This 385-nucleotide ribosomal RNA is filed under the name uncultured eukaryote. Its description in RNAcentral is "partial 18S ribosomal RNA". It matches the Rfam family "Eukaryotic small subunit ribosomal RNA", at positions 592 to 976 of the family's 1831-position model. The record is from RNAcentral.
CAAUAGCGUAUAUUAAAGUUGUUGCAGUUAAAAAGCUCGUAGUUGGAUUUCUGGUUGAAGCGACCGGUCGGGCGUUGAUUCGUCUGCACUGGAGUCGGUUUUGGCCAUCCUCUAGGAAAGUGCGUCUGGUAUUAAGUUAUCGGGCGUAUGAUCCUGGUCUUUUACUGUGAAAAAAUUAGAGUGUUUAAAGCAGGCCUUCGCCUUGAAUACAUUAGCAUGGAAUAAUAAGAUAUGACUUUGGUGGUCUAUUUUGUUGGUUUGCACACCAGAGUAAUGAUUAAUAGGGACAGUUGGGGGUAUUCAUAUUUCAACGUCAGAGGUGAAAUUCUUAGAUCGUUGAAAGAUGACCUUAGGCGAAAGCAUUUACCAUGGAUGUUUUCAUUAA